UGAGGAAUCUUCCACAAUGGGCGAAAGCCUGAUGGAGCAACGCCGCGUGCAGGAUGAAGGCCCUCGGGUCGUAAACUGCUUUUAUAAGUGAAGAAUAUGACGGUAACUUAUGAAUAAGCACCGGCUAACUACGUGCCAGCAGCCGCGGUCAUACGUAGGGUGCAAGCAUUAUCCGGAGUGACUGGGCGUAAAGAGUUGCGUAGGUGGACAAGUAAGCGAAUAGUGAAAUCCGACGGCUCAACCGUAUGGACUAUUACUCGAACUGCUUGUCUCGAGAAUGGUAGAGGUAACUGGAAUUUCUAGUGUAGGAGUGAAAUCCGUAGAUAUUAGAAGGAACACCAAUGGCGUAGGCAGGUUACUGGACCAUUUCUGACACUGAGGCACGAAAGCGUGGGGAGCGAACCGG
RNAcentral lists this ribosomal RNA (406 nucleotides) under uncultured bacterium. Its description in RNAcentral is "bacterial SSU rRNA". It matches the Rfam family "Bacterial small subunit ribosomal RNA", at positions 355 to 776 of the family's 1533-position model. The record is from RNAcentral.